AGAGUUUGAUCAUGGCUCAGGACGAACGCUGGCGGCGUGGAUAAGACAUGCAAGUCGAACGGGACAUUAUUAAUAGCAAUAUUGAUGAUGUUCAGUGGCGUAAGGGUGCGUAACACGUGAAUCAUCUGCCGAGAAGUGGGGCAUAGCUCGCCGAAAGGCGAAUUAAUACCGCAUAUUGUAGCAAUACCAAAGCCGGGGCAACUUGGCGCUUCUUGAUGAGUUCGCGGCCUAUCAGCUAGUUGGCGGGGUAACGGCCCACCAAGGCUAUGACGGGUAGCUGGUCUGAGAGGACGACCAGCCACACUGGAACUGAGACACGGUCCAGACACCUACGGGUGGCAGCAGUCGAGAAUUUUUCUCAAUGGGGGAAACCCUGAAGGAGCGACGCCGCGUGGAGGAUGAAGGUCUUCGGAUUGUAAACUCCUGUCAUUAGUGAACAAAGUUCGCGCUUUACUGGUUGCGAAUUUGCUAGUAACUGAAGAGGAAGAGGCGGCAAACUCUGUGCCAGCAGCGGCGGUAAUUC
This 523-nucleotide ribosomal RNA is filed under the name uncultured bacterium. Its description in RNAcentral is "bacterial SSU rRNA". It matches the Rfam family "Bacterial small subunit ribosomal RNA", at positions 8 to 526 of the family's 1533-position model. The record is from RNAcentral.